GGUUGUAUAGUGUAGCGGUCAUCACAUCGGAUUCUGACGAAACUCAUCUUCUGAGCAUUCCGGUAACCCCGGUUCGAUUCCGGGUACGACCU
This is a non-coding RNA of Immersiella caudata, 92 nucleotides long. The record is from the annotation of a GenBank genome assembly. Lineage: Eukaryota; Fungi; Ascomycota; Sordariomycetes; Sordariales; Lasiosphaeriaceae.